AACUUUGAAGAGAAGCUGAAGAAGAAAACGCUCACCUCCGGCUGCGCACAAGGCACAGCCUUCGGCGACCUUAUGGAGGCGAUCGAAGGUGUGACCCUGCCCAAGGCGGAGUUACGCACAUCGUGGCUUUAUCAGAUGACCCAUGCCGUCAACACAGCGCCCUCGCUCUAUCUCGAAGCCGGUGCCAUCCAUGGCUGUGUG
Molecule: unclassified non-coding RNA, 201 nt
Filed under: Hevea brasiliensis (rubber tree)
Lineage: Eukaryota; Viridiplantae; Streptophyta; Magnoliopsida; Malpighiales; Euphorbiaceae
Source: RNAcentral